Acyrthosiphon pisum (pea aphid) is the source of this 69-nucleotide non-coding RNA. The record is from Rfam. Lineage: Eukaryota; Metazoa; Arthropoda; Insecta; Hemiptera; Aphididae.
UAGGCCGUCAAAAUGGAUGUGAAGUGGUUUUUUUUACUAUUCAUAUCACAGCCACUUUGAUGAGCCGAU